This 135-nucleotide ribosomal RNA is filed under the name Oesophagostomum dentatum (nodular worm). RNAcentral's name for it is "5.8S ribosomal RNA". It matches the Rfam family "5.8S ribosomal RNA". Rfam says of the family: 5.8S ribosomal RNA (5.8S rRNA) is a component of the large subunit of the eukaryotic ribosome. It is transcribed by RNA polymerase I as part of the 45S precursor that also contains 18S and 28S rRNA. Lineage: Eukaryota; Metazoa; Nematoda; Chromadorea; Rhabditida; Strongylidae. The record is from Rfam by way of RNAcentral.
UAGCUUCAGCGAUGGAUCGAUCGAUUCGCGUAUCAAUGAAAAACGUUAUUUACCACGGAUUGCAGACGUUUACAGUGGUGAAAUUUUGAAUGCAUAACGUUGGGUUUUCCCUUCGACACGUUUGGUUCAGGGGUG